CCUACGGGUCGCAGCAGUGAGGAAUAUUGGUCAAUGGACGAGAGUCUGAACCAGCCAAGUAGCGUGAAGGAUGACUGCCCUAUGGGUUGUAAACUUCUUUUAUAAAGGAAUAAAACGAGGCACGUGUGCCCUUUUGCAUGUACUUUAUGAAUAAGGAUCGGCUAACUCCGUGCCAGCAGCCGCGGUAAUACGGAGGAUCCGAGCGUUAUCCGGAUUUAUUGGGUUUAAAGGGUGCGUAGGUGGGUUGUUAAGUCAGUUGUGAAAGUUUGCGGCUCAACCGUAAAAUUGCAAUUGAUACUGGCAGUCUAGAGUACAGUUGAGGUAGGCGGAAUUCGUGGUGUAGCGGUGAAAUGCUUAGAUAUCACGAAGAACUCCGAUUGCGAAGGCAGCUUACUAAACUGCCACUGACAUUGAUGCUCGAAAGUGUGGGGAUCAAACAGGAUUAGAUACCCGUGUAGUC
This 460-nucleotide ribosomal RNA is filed under the name uncultured bacterium. Its description in RNAcentral is "partial 16S ribosomal RNA". It matches the Rfam family "Bacterial small subunit ribosomal RNA", at positions 338 to 795 of the family's 1533-position model. The record is from RNAcentral.